Molecule: ribosomal RNA, 411 nt
Filed under: uncultured bacterium
Lineage: Bacteria
Description: partial 16S ribosomal RNA
Rfam family: Bacterial small subunit ribosomal RNA
Source: RNAcentral
UGGGGAAUUUUGGACGAAUUGGGCGAAAGCCUGAAUCCAGCAAUGCCGCGUGUGUGAAGAAGGCCUUCGGGUUGUAAAGCACUUUUGUCCGGAAAGAAAUCCUUGGCUCUAAUACAGUCGGGGGAUGACGGUACCGGAAGAAUAAGCACCGGCUAACUACGUGCCAGCAGCCGCGGUAAUACGUAGGGUGCAAGCGUUAAUCGGAAUUACUGGGCGUAAAGCGUGCGCAGGCGGUUUGCUAAGACCGAUGUGAAAUCCCCGGGCGUCAACCUGGGAACUGCAUUGGUGACUGGCAGGCUAGAGUAUGGCAGAGGGGGGUAGAAUUCCACGUGUAGCAGUGAAAUGCGUAGAGAUGUGGAGGAAUACCGAUGGCGAAGGCAGCCCCCUGGCAAGUACUGACGCUCAUGCACG